GACGAACGCUGGCGGCGUGCUUAACACAUGCAAGUCGAACGGAAAGGCCCUGCUUUUGUGGGGUGACCGAGUGGCGAACGGGUGAGUAACACGUGAGUAACCUGCCCUUGACUUUGGGAUAACUUCAGGAAACUGGGGCUAAUACCGGAUAGGAGCUCCCGCUGCAGUGUGGGGGUUGGAAAGUUUCGGCGGUUGGGGAUGGACUCGCGGCUUAUCAGCUUGUUGGUGGGGUAGUGGCUUACCAAGGCUUUGACGGGUAGCCGGCCUGAGAGGGUGACCGGCGACAUUGGGACUGAGAUACGGCCCAGACUCCUACAGGAGGCAGCAGUGGGGAAUAUUGCACAAUGGGCGGAAGCCUGAUGCAGCAACGCCGCGUGCGGGAUGACGGCCUUCGGGUUGUAAACCGCUUUCGCCUGUGACGAAGCGUGAGUGACGGUAAUGGGUAAAGAAGCACCGGCUAACUACGUG
RNAcentral lists this ribosomal RNA (468 nucleotides) under uncultured bacterium. RNAcentral describes it as "partial 16S ribosomal RNA". It matches the Rfam family "Bacterial small subunit ribosomal RNA", at positions 28 to 507 of the family's 1533-position model. The record is from RNAcentral.